AUUUGUAAGUUAUUGUAAAUCGCGAUAGCUAAGCUGUUAAGGCUGCAGUGUGUUGGACAGAUUGUGGUGGUUGUUCGGUGUUUGUUUCUUCUGCUCAUCGUUACUGUUCCGUGUUUGUUUCUUCUCCCCGUGGUAACUGGACUGAUGAUAUCCUCUUUGCUGGGCCAUACCUACAUGGAAUGAGAUCCAUGGAAUGAGAUCCGCAGAGGCAUUUUGUUUGUUGGAUGUGAGGGGUUGUAUCAACAAGUGAAUUUGAUGACUAGGUAGUAACAACUAGAACAUAUUCUAGAACGAAUAUUGGUAUUGCUUGCCUCUAUUUCUCCUAAAUUGGAAAAUUAGAAGCCCAGUAAGUUAACAGGAUAAAGGACACUGCAUAAUAAGUUUUCCUAACUAAUAUCGGCGUUGUUUGCCUCUUAAACUGGAAAGCUAACGUACAGUAAGAGACUCAAAUUAUGAAGCCAAAGGGCACUGCGUACCGAUUUCUUCAAGUGUUUUUCUCGCAUUAAAGUUUUGUAAUAAAGCUCUGCAAUCUUUAUAUUCCUAGUUUUUACCAAAUGCAAUGUAUACUGUUAAUUUCUGAUAAAACUAAUGGACCUCCAAUGUCUGAGAUUUGUAGUUCACUGGUAUGUCUUCAAAUGAAAAGCAUUGUAUCGAAUUACUUUGUAGUUUGGGUCAUGAACUGUUGUCCAUGGUAACAGAACCAUGACUUCAUUGAUGUUCCUUCCUACUGUGGAGAGAGCGCGCCUCAGUGGCGUGAUUGGUAUGGUUUUGGCUUGCCACCUCGGUGGCCGCGAGUUCGGUUCUCUGGUAUUCCAGUGAGGUGUGAGAGAUUUUUAUUUGUGAUAAAAGUUCACUCUCUGUAGUUCGGAAGUCAACGUAAAGCUGUUGGUCCCGUUGCUGAAAAACUAUUGGUUCCAUGCAACGUAAAAACGCCAUACUAACUAGGGAGACACUGUUUUAUUAUAAAUUUGCUAGAAUUUGAACUUGCUGGAAAUUUGCUCAGCAGUUUUGAGUUUGUCUCGAAUAUAACUUAAAUUUACUAGCUGAAAAUUCGCACUCCACUCCAGUUUUGUAAUUCUCUAAUAUUCUCAAACUUUAUAACGAGGGCUUUGCUGGUGUUCCUUUUAACAAACUACUUCAAUGAUGCUCUUCCUACGGUGAAGACUUAUAAUUUAAUGAGUAAUAUUAAUGACUUGCUGAAAAUUUAUGGCUGAAUACUUAACUCUGCAGUUUCGGGUUAGUCACAAAUAUAAUUUUGUUACUAUUACUAUGAAGUCUCGAGUUUAGUUGUUAUUUCGGCAAUUUUCAAGUUUUCAUGUUUAAGAAAGUUUCUAUAAUGUUAAUUUAGUUUUUUAUUGAAUAAAAAAUUUCAUGUUUGCAUAUA
Macrobrachium nipponense is the source of this 1384-nucleotide long non-coding RNA. RefSeq lists it as uncharacterized. The record is from RefSeq and is a predicted model, not a curated record. The transcript is spliced from 3 exons. Lineage: Eukaryota; Metazoa; Arthropoda; Malacostraca; Decapoda; Palaemonidae.